CCUCAGAUCAGGUAGGAGUACCCGCUGAACUUAAGCAUAUCAAUAAGCGGAAAAGAAACCAACAGGGAUUGCCCCAGUAGCGGCGAGUGAAGCGGCAAGAGCUCAGAUUUGAAAUCGUGCCAAUUUUUUUGGCACGAGUUGUAGAGUGUAGGCGGGAGUCUUUGUGGAGCACGGUGUCCAAGUCCCUUGGAACAGGGCGCCUGAGAGGGUGAGAGCCCCGUGGGGUGCCGUGCGAAGCUUUGAGGCCCUGCUGACGAGUCGAGUUGUUUGGGAAUGCAGCUCCAAGUGGGUGGUAAAUUCCAUCUAAGGCUAAAUACUGGCGAGAGACCGAUAGCGAACAAGUACUGUGAAGGAAAGAUGAAAAGCACUUUGAAAAGAGAGUGAAACAGCACGUGAAAUUGUUGAAAGGGAAGGGUAUUGGGCCCGACAUGGGGAGUGCGCACCGCUGUCUCUUGUAGGCGGCGCUCUGGGCGCUCUCUGGGCCAGCAUCGGUUCUUGCUGCGGGAGAAUGGGUGCCGGAAAGUGGCUCUUCGGAGUGUUAUAGCCGGCGCCAGAUACCGCGUGCGGGGACCGAGGACUGCGGCUUCUGUCUCGGAUGCUGGCACAACGGCGCAAAUACCGC
RNAcentral lists this ribosomal RNA (622 nucleotides) under Pichia membranifaciens. Its description in RNAcentral is "eukaryotic LSU rRNA". It matches the Rfam family "Eukaryotic large subunit ribosomal RNA", at positions 1 to 648 of the family's 3401-position model. Lineage: Eukaryota; Fungi; Ascomycota; Pichiomycetes; Pichiales; Pichiaceae. The record is from RNAcentral.